RNA transcript from Pan troglodytes (chimpanzee), 3781 nucleotides. RefSeq lists it as uncharacterized. The transcript has 4 exons. NCBI's taxonomy places the organism in Eukaryota, Metazoa, Chordata, Mammalia, Primates, Hominidae. The record is from RefSeq and is a predicted model, not a curated record.
GGCACAGCGCCCGUGUGCUGGAGGCGAGUUGGCUCCGGGUGGGGGAGGCUGGGGUUCCAAACCAGGGCAGGGGAAUGGUGGCCCUGCGUGGCUCGUGGACCUCUCUCAGGGACCCCUCUCAGCAGGGGCCGGAAAAGCAGGCCCACACCCAGUGGUCAUUGCAGGAACUUCACUUGAGCUGGUCUGCUUGUGAGCCUGUGGUUUGGAGAGGAGAAGACGCACUUCCCCAUGAGAAAAAGGUGGUCAUCCCCAUGGGCUCCACAGAUGAGGACAUCGGCCCUCAGCUCUGCCCCCUCUCAGAAGCCUUCCUCACCUGGGGGUUCUGGGUGAAGGGAGCUCCCCGCCAGAGACUCAUGUGGGAUCGUGUGUGGACCGUAGAGCCACAGAGCGUCAUCUGUAAGCCAGAUAGAGUUUCACUCUUGUCUCCCAGGCUGGAGUGCAAUGGCGUAAUCUUGGCUCACUGCAACCUCCACCUGCUGGGUUCAAAUGAUUCUCCUGCCUCAGCCUCCGAAGUAGCUGGAAUUACAGGUGCCGGAUUGAUGGAACCUCAAAUGUGUAAAGUCUUGCACAGGAAACUCCCCAGCAUGGCCAUUCAGAGGCUCUCAACUCCUGCUGGACCCAAACACAAGAAACCAGGAGGCCCAGACCCCGUCUCUCAUUUUGCACGUCAGAAAACGGUACCUGGAAAGAGAACUCCAUUUUCUUUUCUUAACGUUCUUUAGCUAAAACAAGAGUGUAGGGAAGGGGCUACUUGGAAAAGAGAUUCUCUAAAUUGCCUGAAAAAUCGAUCACAACCCAAGAACCAAGUAUUUUGAAACACAGCAUAUUUAGGAAGUUUGAGGAAGCUUUAAAAUAUCUCCAGAAGGUUUGUGUUUAGCCCAGCACGAUGUCUGUCUUGUGACCCAAAGGUUUAUCUUCUGAACCUUACUUGAGCAACUUCAUUAAUAAAAACAUUUUUGAGAAUGCACAUCUAACACGUAUAUACUUAUUAUAACUUUUGUACAUAUACUUUUGAACUAAUAUGUUCUGUUUUUUUAAAGAGAUACAUAUUAAAUAUGUAUUUUUACAUAUUAACAUUAAACAAAUACAUUAACAUUAAACAAUGUAUUAACAUUAAACAAAUACAUAUUAAAUAUGUAUUUUUAAAAACACAUAUCUAAACACAAAUUUAAAAAUUGAUACGGAUGAAAUAAAUAUUUAAAAAUAGGGCCGGGCGCGGUGGCUCAUGCCUGUGAUCCCAGCACUUUGGGAGGCCGAGGCGGGUGGAUCACCUGAGGUCAGAAUUUCAAGACCAGCCUGGUCAACAUGGUGAAACCUCAUCUCUACUAAAUAUACAAAAAAUUAGCUGGGUAUGGUGGCAGACACCUGUAAUCCGAGGUACUCGGGAGGCUGAGGCAGGAGAAUCGCUUGAACCCAGGAGGCAGAGGUUGCAGGGAGCCGAGAUCGCGCCAUUGCAGUCCAGCCUGGGCAACAAGAGCAAAACUUUGUCUCAAAAAAAAAAAAAAAAAAAAAAAAAAAAAAGAUUUUGUCUAUUAACUAUCUGAAACCCUUUUUGUUCUCAUUAAAAUAUAUUAUUAUUAAUCAAAUUUCUAGUGAGAGCAAUGGGAUUGGAUAGGCAUGAUUAUUUUUAAAAAUCUUGGUAUAAUACUUUGUGGCACAGUGAGUCAAAAGCCUGGCUCUGAUUUUCAAUACUUGGGCGAUUAUAGCUGAGAAAGAUAUAUGAGACAUAUAAAUCUGAAUGGAAGAAGGGAACUGGACUCUCAUUUCUGAUUCCUGGCCACUGUGAAGGCACAGGUUUUCAUCUGUCACUAUGUGCUAAAAGCAAACCAGCAAGUGAGGGUGUCACUGUCAUCUGCUCCUUGUCGUGAGAUUCCCACCUUUCCCUCAAGACAUCUCAGAUAUCAUAUGUAACCUUGACCCUGUGUCCCACAGCAGCAGCGGUCAUUGAGUGUAAAGCCUUUUCCUUGAGGAUUGUGGUAGACAGAAUGCCCCCCAAAGGUGACUAUGCUUGAAUCCCUGGAAACUGAACGUGUCACCUUCUAUGGCAAAAGGGACUUUGCAGAUGCGAUUAAGGUUAAAGACCUUAAAUUAGAGGGAGUACCCUGGACUAUCCAGGUGUCUAAUCUAAUCCCAUGAGACUUCAAAUGCAGAGAGCUUUCUCUGGCUGGAGUCAAAGAGAUGUGACAAAAGAGGUCGUCGGAGAGAUUGGAAGUGUGAGAAAGACCCGACCUACUGUUUCUGGGGAGCCCACCUGGAAAGCACGAGAAGGGACACAGGCAACCUUUGGGAACAAAGACUGCCAGCCACAAGGAAAAGACAACAGUCCUCUAGCCACAAGAAACCAAAUUCAGCCAGCAACCUGGACAAGCUAGAAGAGCAUUCUUCCCCAGAAGCUUUAGGAGGAAGUGAGGCCUUGCAGAUACCCUGAUUUUGGCUUUUGAGACACUAAACAGAGGAUCCAACUGAGUUCAACUGGCCCAGAAACUGAGAUAUGUUUGGACUGUUUUAAGCUGCUACGUUUGUGGUAAUUUAUUUUGGUGGCAACUGAAAAUGAAUGUAAUUGUAUAUUAGAAAAAUUGAAGGUAGAAGCUCUAAUACUUUCUCCCCACACCCCAGUGGUUCAUCAUGUGCAGCACUCAGGGUGUGGAAAUUCCAUUUUGAAGACACCGUCUUCCAGGAUUCUAACCCCCACCUGGGAAAGGUCCUGGAGAGAACUUCUAGCAUGUUCUGAGCCAUUCACAUUUAACCCAGAGAGAGAAGGUGUCCUGCCCAAACGCAAAGCAGCAUGGCGGUAGUUCUGGACAUAACCUUAACAAUUGCCAGGAACUCUCUGGAUGUCCAUCCAUCAGCCCUAUCUAGUCUUUUUGUCUGCAUGGCAUUGUGGGGGAUGUGGCGAUGAGGGCCAGGAUCGCAGAAGUCAGAGUACCCGUGGCUGGAGCUUCCAUUUUAAAUGACGUGUUCUUGCUUAUGGCUUGAUGGUGUCCUUUCAGAUUUUGCAUCUGGCUGUACUCCAGAUGUUUAUAUAGAAACUUCACAGUAGACAUGAUGGUGGCGCAGGUCUGCAGGAAGGAUCCUUUCCUACUUACAGAUGACCCAAUGUGGCCGAUCCCUUCAAUAUUUACAACAGCUGGGUGAGUAGAGGCAUGAUCAACUCCAUUUACCCGUCAAAUAAAUGAAAUUUCAGAGCGGUUACACAAUCUGCUUGAGGUAACAAGGCCAGCAAGCCACAGAGCCAACAUACCCCUGGUGCCUGGCUCCACAGGAGUCUGGGAAGAGGGAGAGGAAGAUGGGGACAGGAUGUAUCACCAGGAUGCUAGGGGAAGAGAGAAUAUUGACGUGUGGGGCAGCCUGCAUCCCCAAAUCAGGAGCACUGGGUGCUGCUGUGUUACCGUGAGUGUAGGAGCAUGCCGUUCUGGGCCUCACUCUGCCCAAAUAUGUCUUGCUCAUUUUCACCGCCAUAUGUCUGCUCGUCCCGGUCUGUUUGAGGUUGCUUCCUGUUCCCUCUCUGCCUCUAAGUCCUUCAAAAAGCCAACUGGAAGUGCCUCUUCCAGGCUUUCCUUAGCCUUUCUUUAUUCCCUUGAACUUCUAUUAUGUUAAUUGUUCAAAAGAUUAGUUCUGACACUUACCCUAUGCUGCUUUGUAUUACUAUUGGAAAACAACAGUAGCUCUCUCAACCCAUUGGGUGGAUGGUACAUGCCAUGCUUUAUACAUUCCCGUGGCCCUGCUGUACCUGGCACACACAAAAGGGGAUUAAUAAAUACGCAUAUGUUGAAUGAAAGAA